RNAcentral lists this ribosomal RNA (119 nucleotides) under Gossypium hirsutum (cotton). The record is from RNAcentral. Lineage: Eukaryota; Viridiplantae; Streptophyta; Magnoliopsida; Malvales; Malvaceae.
GGGUGCGAUCAUACCAGCACUAAUNCNCCGCUUUUAUCUGAUAGAAUGCGCUAAAAGUGAUUGGGUCAGUCAUACCAGCACUAAUGCACCUUCUGGGAAGUCCUCGUCUUGCACCCCUC